Molecule: long non-coding RNA, 346 nt
Organism: Lolium rigidum
Lineage: Eukaryota; Viridiplantae; Streptophyta; Magnoliopsida; Poales; Poaceae
Exons: 3
Source: RefSeq, a predicted model, not a curated record
AUGAUAUGCAAAGUAUUCACCUCCAGAGAUCAUGCUUGGUGGCUUUACUUGUAUGAGAUGGUGAAUAUCCAUGGCAAUUGUGAAGGCAAAAUCUCCAUCGAAGAAGAGUGGCAUCCACCCGAUCCAGUCUGUCUAUGCUGAUCGUCGAAUCCUUUGCUAUCUCUGAAUGGCCAAACAAUUUGACUUUUCUGUUCCUUAGUCUAAUUUUUAUGAAUAAUGGCCAAGGCCUUCGAGGGAGGAGAAACCGCAGAAGACUGCCUGCCCUGUUCGACAGGCCUAAGAGAAAUUUCAGGCUAGCGGAACUCGGAAAGACCGUGCCGUUCAUGCAGUUAGGCGAUCAUUGGAC